RNAcentral lists this long non-coding RNA (1103 nucleotides) under Equus caballus (horse). RNAcentral describes it as "lncRNA (ENSECAG00000036509.3)". Lineage: Eukaryota; Metazoa; Chordata; Mammalia; Perissodactyla; Equidae. The record is from RNAcentral.
CAGACUUUGGUCUAACAGGCCAGGAGAAGAACUCCAAUGGCAUCUGCCUGUGUCUGUGUCAGCAUGCCUGUACUACGUCACAAUAAUGGUUACCACCAAUGUCUCAGUCCCUGGAGAGUUCUCACUUCUCACUGAGAUGUGCCCAGAGCCUAUCAGAUAACCCGGCAGGGUCACCCAUGUUGGACAGGUUUCAGAGGAGCUUGUAGACAAAGACAGACUAGGAAGAAGGACCUGGCCACUCACUUCUGAAAAAAUUGGCCAUGAAAACCCUAGGAAUAGCAGUGGAACAUUGUCUGAUAUAGUGCCAAAAGUCUUUCUCAGGGCUUCAGAAUUAUGGUGGCCACGAGGCCGAGAGCUUUAAACACUGCCAUACCUUGCAUGGAUAGCAGCACACUCUCCAAGUACCCACUACAUACAAGAUGGAGAAAGACUUGUUAAAAAGUACCAUUCCUCCUCACUCCCCAAAAGCUUAAUGUCGUCGAUUCAUAAGCACAUCUCACCUUGAUAGAAUACAAUGGAAGUACCAUUUCCACUUUCAUAAGAUUGAGCCAAGAAGAGGUCCACCGAGAACCACUCACCCUCAGGAUCUCACCUCAGAUUGCUAAAAUCGUCAAACUGAUAAAGAACCGUUAAGUUGUUCUCCCAAUUGUUGGAUGGCAGAUAAUUCAUUUUGGCUUAAGAGCCUGGAGGAGAACUUGAAGAAGGAACCAAGGCAAUUCCUUUUCCACAAUGUUGUUCCACAAAAAUCUCUCAAGAUUGCACGUGGUUGAGAAGUCCCAGACAACAUUGGAAUUUUUCAAGGUUGACUCAGCAAACGAUCCCUGAUGGGGUUAGUCACUCAUUCUCUGACCAGAUCUCAUCCAGAUCAUCUUAACUAGAGAUACAGAGACGGGAUGAGAGAAGAUCUAAGCUAAAUCGCUGGUUUACCUACAGCAUUGAUCUCUUUCACCUUUGGUUGUAAGUAGACUGACAACCCUGAUCAAAUUCAAAUUGGUGUUCCUGUUUGAACUAUUCCUUCUUCAAGGGAAGCUUCUUAGUAAGCAGGGUGUGGGCAAAGACAAUGAAAGUUAAAACAUGAAUUUUUGAAGGCUCCUUGGCCAUCC